RNAcentral lists this long non-coding RNA (394 nucleotides) under Ananas comosus (pineapple). RNAcentral describes it as "long non-coding RNA (ACOM_LNC018352)". Lineage: Eukaryota; Viridiplantae; Streptophyta; Magnoliopsida; Poales; Bromeliaceae. The record is from RNAcentral.
ACUAGGGAUGCCAACGGGUCGGAUUCGGGACCGAUUUUUAAAAAUCAAAAUCUGAACCAAAACCUAAAUCCGACAAAUUUUAAAAAUUCAUACCUAAAUCGGAAUCCGACCAAACAUUCGAAACUUGAACCUGCCACAAUUAUUUAUUUUUACAACAUUUCAAAACAUAUUAAUAUAAAAUUUUAAUUUUUAAAAUACAAAUUCAAAUAUAACAAUAAAUAUUUAUAUACAUAUACAUAUAUAAUAAUGUAAAAUCAAUUCAGGUUCAGGUCGGGUUCUGAUUCGAGUCAGGUAUAGUAAUAUUUAUAUUCAAAUUUAAAUUCGUCGUAUUCUUAUUUUUGAUAUUCAUAUAUGAAAAUAUCUGUUUAGCACUGAGUAUAUCUGCUCAAUUCGG